Molecule: ribosomal RNA, 1101 nt
Filed under: Triticum aestivum (bread wheat)
Lineage: Eukaryota; Viridiplantae; Streptophyta; Magnoliopsida; Poales; Poaceae
Description: partial small subunit ribosomal RNA
Source: RNAcentral
AUGAGGACCCAAAUCCAUCCAAGAGCUCGAGAAGUAAUUAAAAAAAAGAACUUCUGCUCGUCUUCUCGGCGGCUGCAACAGCGACCAUCGGCCGGCGCCUCUCCGAAUCGCCGGCCAUCGAUUCAGAUGAGCCGCCGCCGUCACCCGCCGUCGCUAGCGCCGGCGGCCCCACUGGACGACGAGGACCUCCUCCGCCUCCAUCAGCAGCCAUCCUCCCUCGCCCGCGCCUCCUCGGUCUGCACGCGCUGGCGCGGCAUCCUCUCCGACCCCCAAUUCCUCAAACGCUUCCGCAAACACCAUGGAAAACCUCUGCUCCUCGGCUUCUUCGCGGGGCCUGUUUUCAGAGACCACGUCUUCACUCCCGUCCCGGACUCGCCCGACCGCAUCCUUGUCGCACGCUUCUCCAUGACCAUGCCACAGAGCCACAACCCCUUCGACCGCUGGGACUUGGUCGGCUGCCGCCACGGCCUCGCCGUCCUGAUCAACAAGUGCCGGAAGGAGGUUGUCGUAUCGGAUCCCCUAACCGGCCGGCAGCAGUGCGUGCGUUUUCCACCGGGGCUCUGCGACGCCCUAUGGGGGAUUUUUUGUGACUGGCACGGAGCGGUGCUGUGCGCUGACGGCGAAGAUGGGCAUGUGCAUGGCGAUUGCCUAUCGAGCCCGUUCAAAUUGAUCUUGAUACGCAACGAAGACAUGCGGACAUUCGGCUCUCUCUACGACUCGGUGUCUCGUGUUUGGGGAAAUAUUUUCUCGGCGACUACAAAUAGUAUUUGUAGUAUAAGGUCCAGCAUUCUUGCCGGGAAUGCACUUUGCUGGUUGAUUUCGGGAGGUGCUGUCCUUGUGUUUGAUUUGGAAAUGCAGAACCUUAGCGUGAUCGAGAAGCCAGCAGAAAACCAUGUUAUCACUAGCUGGUGUUUGCAGCUAGUAUGGAUGGAGGAUGGCGGACUUGGCCUCGCUGUUUUGUCGGAGCUGACUGUCCAAUUAUGGGUGAGGAAAUCUAACCAUGAUGGUUUUGUCGGAUGGGUGUUGCUGCAGAAAACCAUUCCACUGGAGGGGAUGUUUAAACGGAGAAUGUGUAGUGACCGCACUCUUUGUGGGGUAUGA